RNAcentral lists this ribosomal RNA (460 nucleotides) under uncultured bacterium. RNAcentral's name for it is "partial 16S ribosomal RNA". It matches the Rfam family "Bacterial small subunit ribosomal RNA", at positions 338 to 795 of the family's 1533-position model. The record is from RNAcentral.
CCUACGGGGUGGCAGCAGUGAGGAAUAUUGGUCAAUGGGAGAGAUCCUGAACCAGCCAAGCCGCGUGAGGGAAGACGCCCUUCUGGGUUGUAAACUUUUUUUGUCGGAGACCAAAACCCGGGCCGUGUCCCGGACUGCGUGUACCCGAAGAAAAAGCAUCGGCUAACUCCGUGCCAGCAGCCGCGGUAAUACGGAGGAUGCGAGCGUUAUCCGGAUUUAUUGGGUUUAAAGGGUGCGUAGGCGGUCCGGUAAGUCAGCGGUAAAAUUGCGGGUCUCAACCCCGUCGAGCCGUUGAAACUGGCAGACGUGAGUGGGCGAGAAGUACGCGGAAUGCGCGGUGUAGCGGUGAAAUGCAUAGAUAUCGCGCAGAACUCCGAUUGCGAAGGCAGCAUACCGGCGCCAGACUGACGCUGAGGCACGAAAGCGUGGGGAUCGAACAGGAUUAGAUACCCGUGUAGUC